UUUGAAGAAGAAGAAGAAAAAAAAUAAUUUCUGUUUGUUAACUUGUGCAGGAUGCGCCCACCUUUGAAUUUUAUAACCAGCGUGAUGACAAUAUAACGUGUCAGCAGAUCUGGACCUGUGGGCCCACUCCACGGUGGUGCCUGAACACAGCCGAGCAUUCCGGCAGCUCACCCAGAUCGGCGAACAGAGAUUCAUCCUCUUCUCUCAUAGGGAAAAACAUCGCCGCGUCAGCCUCCGCCGUGCUCCUCUCAUCCGCAAAAAUGGGGCUCUCGAGGAUGGUGGAAGAGGUGGUUUCCAUUUCUCCAAACCAGCUAAACUCAUCUCUACUAAUAAGUGAGUCAUCUCCAAGAUCAGUGAACUUUUCCUCAGGUUCAGGUUCAGGUUCGGGUUCUGGGUUUUCAGGUUGGGUGGGUGUGGAGAUUUCGGACUUGACUGUGUUGAGUUUGGUGGAGGCGUUACCUUGGUGGUGGUGAUGGUGCUGGGUCUUUGAAGGAGGUGGCCAAGGGUGGUUGUGUUCGCAAGAGUAGGUGACCACUAGCAUUGAAGGGUCCACACGGCUCCUCUCUACCUGUUUUCUGGCAGGGCAGCCCUUUGAACUGCUACA
This 604-nucleotide unclassified non-coding RNA is filed under the name Hevea brasiliensis (rubber tree). The record is from RNAcentral. Lineage: Eukaryota; Viridiplantae; Streptophyta; Magnoliopsida; Malpighiales; Euphorbiaceae.